Molecule: ribosomal RNA, 444 nt
Filed under: uncultured Sphingobacteriales bacterium
Lineage: Bacteria; Pseudomonadati; Bacteroidota; Sphingobacteriia; Sphingobacteriales
Description: bacterial SSU rRNA
Rfam family: Bacterial small subunit ribosomal RNA
Source: RNAcentral
AGGACAUGUGGUUAAUUCGAUGAUACGCGAGGAACCUUACCUGGGCUUAAAUGGGGAGUGACAGCUGUCGAAAGAUGGUUUUCUUCGGACACUCUUCAAGGUGCUGCAUGGUUGUCGUCAGCUCGUGCCGUGAGGUGUCGGGUUAAGUCCCAUAACGAGCGCAACCCUUACCGUUAGUUACCAUCAGGUUAAGCUGGGGACUCUAGCGGGACUGCCACCGUAAGGUGAGAGGAAGUGGGGAUGACGUCAAAUCAGCACGGCCCUUAUGUCCAGGGCUACACACGUGUUACAAUGGCCGGUACAAAGGGCAGCUACUUCGCGAGAAGAUGCUAAUCUCGAAAGCCGGUCUCAGUUCGGAUCGAAGUCUGCAACCCGACUUCGUGAAGCUGGAUUCGCUAGUAAUCGCGCAUCAGCCAUGGCGCGGUGAAUACGUUCCCGGGCCUU